Molecule: unclassified non-coding RNA, 223 nt
Filed under: uncultured Agaricomycetes
Lineage: Eukaryota; Fungi; Basidiomycota; Agaricomycetes
Description: sequence contains ITS1
Source: RNAcentral
UCGAAUUAAUUUGGUUUGGGUUGUUGCUGGCUCUUGGAGCAUGUGCACACUCACUCCAUCUUUUCUUUUAAACCACCUGUGAACCUUUUGUAGACCCGAAGCCGUCUUCAAACUGCUGUUUGGCCUGAGAAUUGCUGCGUGUUAAGCCAGCUUUUCUUGGUUUGGGUUUAUGUUUUUAUAAAACACCGAACAUGUAUUAGAAUGCUGGUUAAUAAAUCAAAUA